UACGGAGGGUGCAAGCGUUAUCCGGAUUCACUGGGUUUAAAGGGUGCGUAGGUGGGUUGAUAAGUCAGUGGUGAAAUCCCCGAGCUUAACUUGGGAACUGCCAUUGAUACUAUUGAUCUUGAAUACCGUGGAGGUCAGCGGAAUAUGUCAUGUAGCGGUGAAAUGCGUAGAUAUCGAGAGGAACACCUGCGGCGAAGGCGGGUAGCUGGGCCGACACUGACGCUGAUGCGCGAAAGCCAGGGGAGCGAACGGG
This 253-nucleotide ribosomal RNA is filed under the name uncultured bacterium. RNAcentral describes it as "partial 16S ribosomal RNA". It matches the Rfam family "Bacterial small subunit ribosomal RNA", at positions 524 to 776 of the family's 1533-position model. The record is from RNAcentral.